AGAUUAGCUUGCUUUAGUUGUCAGCUAAGUGGCGCACGGGUGAGUAAUGUAUAGGUAAUAUGCCUCUUACUAAGGGAUAACAAUUGGAAACGAUUGCUAAUACCUUAUAUGCCUUUAAGACUUAAGUCUGCAAGGGAAAGAUUUAUUGGUAAGAGAUUAGCCUGUAUUGUAUCAGUUAGUUGGUGGGGUAAUGGCCUACCAAGACAAUGACGCAUAACUGGUUUGAGAGGAUGAUCAGUCACACUGGAACUGAGACACGGUCCAGACUCCUACGGGAGGCAGCAGUGGGGAAUAUUGCACAAUGGGGGAAACCCUGAUGCAGCAACGCCGCGUGGAGGAUGACACAUUUCGGUGCGUAAACUCCUUUUAUAUAGGAAGAUAAUGACGGUACUAUAUGAAUAAGCACCGGCUAACUCCGUGCCAGCAGCCGCGGUAAUACGGAGGGUGCAAGCGUUACUCGGAAUCACUGGGCGUAAAGAGCGUGUAGGCGGGUAUAUAAGUCAGAAGUGAAAUCCAAUAGCUCAACUAUUGAACUGCUUUUGAAACUGUAUACCUAGAAUGUGGGAGAGGUAGAUGGAAUUUCUGGUGUAGGGGUAA
RNAcentral lists this ribosomal RNA (597 nucleotides) under uncultured Arcobacter sp. RNAcentral describes it as "bacterial SSU rRNA". It matches the Rfam family "Bacterial small subunit ribosomal RNA", at positions 69 to 684 of the family's 1533-position model. The record is from RNAcentral. Lineage: Bacteria; Pseudomonadati; Campylobacterota; Epsilonproteobacteria; Campylobacterales; Arcobacteraceae.